CAGGGAAACGUACGGGCAAAAGCGCCGUAAAGAUCGCCGUGGACAUGGUUAACGAGGGCCUUGUUGAGCGCCGUGCGGCGAUCAAGAUGGUAGAGCCAGGCCACCUGGACCAGCUUCUCCAUCCUCAGGUAAUCGUCAAGAACCAUGCAUAUAUAUAUGGAUAUGGACGACUUAUCAAAUCAGUAGUAUUAACCAUUAAGCAGUUGACAUGCAUUGAUACCUUUUUUUUUGUUCUUCUUCUCUUGUGGAAAACCCAGUUUGAGAACCCAUCGGCGUACAAGGACCAAGUCAUUGCCACGGGCCUACCGGCGUCACCUGGGGCCGCUGUGGGCCAGGUUGUAUUCACUGCUGAGGACGCUGAAACAUGGCAUUCCCAAGGGAAAUCAGUUAUUCUGGUAAUAU
RNAcentral lists this long non-coding RNA (402 nucleotides) under Zea mays. RNAcentral describes it as "long non-coding RNA (ZMAY_LNC004945)". The record is from RNAcentral. Lineage: Eukaryota; Viridiplantae; Streptophyta; Magnoliopsida; Poales; Poaceae.